Molecule: ribosomal RNA, 1287 nt
Filed under: metagenome
Description: bacterial SSU rRNA
Rfam family: Bacterial small subunit ribosomal RNA
Source: RNAcentral
UAGCUAGUUGGUGAGGUAACGGCUUACCAAGGCGACGAUCUGUAGCGGGUCUGAGAGGAUGAUCCGCCACACUGGAACUGAGACACGGUCCAGACUCCUACGGGAGGCAGCAGUGGGGAAUUUUGGACAAUGGGGGCAACCCUGAUCCAGCCAUGCCGCGUGAGUGAAGAAGGCCUUCGGGUUGUAAAGCUCUUUCGGCCGGGAAGAAAUCGCAUGGGCCAAUACCCUGUGUGGAUGACGGUACCGGAAUAAGAAGCACCGGCUAACUACGUGCCAGCAGCCGCGGUAAUACGUAGGGUGCGAGCGUUAAUCGGAAUUACUGGGCGUAAAGCGUGCGCAGGCGGUUUUGUAAGACAGGCGUGAAAUCCCCGGGCUCAACCUGGGAACUGCGUUUGUGACUGCAAGGCUAGGGUACGGCAGAGGGGGGUGAAAUUCCACGUGUAGCAGUGAAAUGCGUAGAGAUGUGGAGGAACACCAAUGGCGAAGGCAGCCCCCUGGGUCGAUACUGACGCUCAUGCACGAAAGCGUGGGUAGCAAACAGGAUUAGAUACCCUGGUAGUCCACGCCCUAAACUAUGUCAACUAGGUGUUGGGUGGGUAAAACCAUUUAGUACCGUAGCUAACGCGUGAAGUUGACCGCCUGGGGAGUACGGCCGCAAGGUUAAAACUCAAAGGAAUUGACGGGGACCCGCACAAGCGGUGGAUGAUGUGGAUUAAUUCGAUGCAACGCGAAAAACCUUACCUACCCUUGACAUGCCAGGAACUUGCCAGAGAUGGCUUGGUGCCCGAAAGGGAGCCUGGACACAGGUGCUGCAUGGCUGUCGUCAGCUCGUGUCGUGAGAUGUUGGGUUAAGUCCCGCAACGAGCGCAACCCUUGUCGUUAAUUGCCAUCAUUUAGUUGGGCACUUUAGCGAGACUGCCGGUGACAAACCGGAGGAAGGUGGGGAUGACGUCAAGUCCUCAUGGCCCUUAUGGGUAGGGCUUCACACGUCAUACAAUGGUCGGUACAGAGGGUCGCCAAGCCGCGAGGUGGAGCCAAUCCCAGAAAGCCGAUCGUAGUCCGGAUUGCAGGCUGCAACUCGCCUGCAUGAAGUCGGAAUCGCUAGUAAUCGUGGAUCAGCAUGUCACGGUGAAUACGUUCCCGGGUCUUGUACACACCGCCCGUCACACCAUGGGAGCGGGUUCCGCCAGAAGUAGGUAGCCUAACCGCAAGGAGGGCGCUUACCACGGCGGGGUUCGUGACUGGGGUGAAGUCGUAACAAGGUAGCCGUAGGGGAACCUGCGGCUG